Molecule: transfer RNA, 77 nt
Filed under: hydrothermal vent metagenome
Description: tRNA-Met-CAT
Rfam family: tRNA
About the family: Transfer RNA (tRNA) molecules are approximately 80 nucleotides in length.
Source: RNAcentral
GGGCCAAUAGCUCAGUUGGUUAGAGCAUCUGACUCAUAAUCAGAGGGUCCGGGGUUCGAGUCCCUGUUGGCCCACGA